This 721-nucleotide ribosomal RNA is filed under the name uncultured bacterium. RNAcentral's name for it is "bacterial SSU rRNA". It matches the Rfam family "Bacterial small subunit ribosomal RNA", at positions 771 to 1501 of the family's 1533-position model. The record is from RNAcentral.
AACAGGAUUAGAUACCCUGGUAGUCCACGCCCUAAACGAUGGAUACUCGACAUACGCGAUACACUGUGUGUGUCUGAGCGAAAGCAUUAAGUAUCCCACCUGGGAAGUACGACCGCAAGGUUGAAACUCAAAGGAAUUGGCGGGGGUCCGCACAAGUGGUGGAGCAUGUGGUUUAAUUCGAUGAUACGCGAGGAACCUUACCUGGGCUAGAAUGCAGUCUGACCGCCGGUGAAAGCUGGUUUUGUAGCAAUACACAGAUUGUAAGGUGCUGCAUGGCUGUCGUCAGCUCGUGCCGUGAGGUGUUGGGUUAAGUCCCGCAACGAGCGCAACCCCCAUCAGUAGUUGCCAUCAGGUAACGCUGGGAACUCUACUGAAACUGCCGUCGUAAGACGCGAGGAAGGAGGGGAUGAUGUCAAGUCAUCAUGGCCUUUAUGCCCAGGGCUACACACGUGCUACAAUGGGAAGGACAAAGAGCUGCCACCUGGUGACAGGGCGCUAAUCUCAAAAACCUUCUCUCAGUUCAGAUUGGAGUCUGCAACUCGACUCCAUGAAGCUGGAAUCGCUAGUAAUCGUAGAUCAGCAACGCUACGGUGAAUACGUUCCCGGACCUUGCACACACCGCCCGUCAAGCCAUGGAAGCUGGGUGUACCUAAAGUCGGUAACCGCAAGGAGCCGCCUAGGGUAAAACUAGUAACUGGGGCUAAGUCGUAACAAGGUAACC